This 77-nucleotide transfer RNA is filed under the name Dehalococcoidia bacterium. RNAcentral describes it as "tRNA-Val". It matches the Rfam family "tRNA". Rfam says of the family: Transfer RNA (tRNA) molecules are approximately 80 nucleotides in length. Their secondary structure includes four short double-helical elements and three loops (D, anti-codon, and T loops). Further hydrogen bonds mediate the characteristic L-shaped molecular structure. tRNAs have two regions of fundamental functional importance: the anti-codon, which is responsible for specific mRNA codon recognition, and the 3' end, to which the tRNAs corresponding amino acid is attached (by aminoacyl-tRNA synthetases). tRNAs cope with the degeneracy of the genetic code in two manners: having more than one tRNA (with a specific anti-codon) for a particular amino acid; and 'wobble' base-pairing, i.e. permitting non-standard base-pairing at the 3rd anti-codon position. Lineage: Bacteria; Bacillati; Chloroflexota; Dehalococcoidia. The record is from RNAcentral.
GGGCGAUUAGCUCAGUUGGUUAGAGCGUUGCGUUCACAUCGCAAAGGUCGCUGGUUCGAGUCCAGCAUCGCCCACCA